RNAcentral lists this ribosomal RNA (506 nucleotides) under uncultured bacterium. RNAcentral describes it as "partial 16S ribosomal RNA". It matches the Rfam family "Bacterial small subunit ribosomal RNA", at positions 27 to 507 of the family's 1533-position model. The record is from RNAcentral.
GGACGAACGCUGGCGGCGUGCCUAAUACAUGCAAGUAGAACGCACAGUUUAUACCGUAGCUUGCUACACCAUAGACUGUGAGUUGCGAACGGGUGAGUAACGCGUAGGUAACCUGCCUGGUAGCGGGGGAUAACUAUUGGAAACGAUAGCUAAUACCGCAUAAUAUUAAUUAUUGCAUGAUAAUUAAUUGAAAGGUGCAAUUGCACCACUACCAGAUGGACCUGCGUUGUAUUAGCUAGUAGGUGAGGUAACGGCUCACCUAGGCGACGAUACAUAGCCGACCUGAGAGGGUGAUCGGCCCCACUGGGACUGAGACACGGCCCAGACGCCUACGGGAGGCAGCAGUAGGGAAUCUUCGGCAAUGGACGAAAGUCUGACCGAGCAACGCCGCGUGAGUGAAGAAGGUUGUCGGAUCGUAAAGCUCUGUUGUAAGAGAAGAACGGGUGUGAGAGUGGAAAGUUCACACUGUGACGGUAGCUGACCAGAAAGGGACGGCUAACUACGUG